GACGAACGCUGGCGGCGUGCUUAACACAUGCAAGUCGAACGAAAAUACCAAGCUUGCUUGGUUGAUUAGUGGCGAACGGGUGAGUAACACGUGAGUAACCUGCCCCUUACUUUCCUGGAUAACUGCUCGAAAGGGUAGCUAAUACGGGAUAUUCUGACCAGUCUGCAUGGGUUGGUUUGGAAAGGUUGUUUUUCUGGUAAGGGAUGGGCUCGCGGCCUAUCAGCUUGUUGGUGGGGUGAUGGCCUACCAAGGCUUUGACGGGUAGCCGGCCUGAGAGGGUGGACGGUCACACUGGGACUGAGAUACGGCCCAGACUCCUACGGGAGGCAGCAGUGGGGAAUAUUGCACAAUGGGCGCAAGCCUGAUGCAGCGACGCCGCGUGAGGGAUGAAGGCCUUCGGGUUGUAAACCUCUUUCGUCAGGGAACAAGGCACUACGUUUUGGUGGUGUUGAGGGUACCUGGAUAAGAAGCGCCGGCUAACUACGUGCCAGCAGCCGCGGUAAUACGUAGGGCGCAAGCGUUGUCCGGAAUUAUUGGGCGUAAAGAGCUUGUAGGCGGCUGGUCGCGUCUGUCGUGAAAACUUCCGGCUCAACCGGGGGCUUGCGGUGGGUACGGGCCGGCUAGAGUGCGGUAGGGGUAACUGGAACUCCUGGUGUAGCGGUGGAAUGCGCAGAUAUCAGGAAGAACACCGAUGGCGAAGGCAGGUUACUGGGCCGUUACUGACGCUGAGGAGCGAAAGCGUGGGGAGCGAACAGG
RNAcentral lists this ribosomal RNA (756 nucleotides) under uncultured Actinomyces sp. RNAcentral describes it as "bacterial SSU rRNA". It matches the Rfam family "Bacterial small subunit ribosomal RNA", at positions 28 to 776 of the family's 1533-position model. The record is from RNAcentral. Lineage: Bacteria; Bacillati; Actinomycetota; Actinomycetes; Actinomycetales; Actinomycetaceae.